This 451-nucleotide ribosomal RNA is filed under the name uncultured bacterium. RNAcentral describes it as "partial 16S ribosomal RNA". It matches the Rfam family "Bacterial small subunit ribosomal RNA", at positions 354 to 796 of the family's 1533-position model. The record is from RNAcentral.
GUAGGGAAUAUUGGGCAAUGGUCGGAACCCUGAUCCAGCCAUGCCGCGUGUGUGAAGAAGGCCUUUUGGUUGUAAAGCACUUUAAGCGAGGAGGAGGCUACCGAGAUUAAUACUCUUGGAUAGUGGACGUUACUCGCAGAAUAAGCACCGGCUAACUCUGUGCCAGCAGCCGCGGUAAUACAGAGGGUGCGAGCGUUAAUCGGAUUUACUGGGCGUAAAGCGUGCGUAGGCGGCUUUUUAAGUCGGAUGUGAAAUCCCCGAGCUUAACUUGGGAAUUGCAUUCGAUACUGGGAAGCUAGAGUAUGGGAGAGGAUGGUAGAAUUCCAGGUGUAGCGGUGAAAUGCGUAGAGAUCUGGAGGAAUACCGAUGGCGAAGGCAGCCAUCUGGCCUAAUACUGACGCUGAGGUACGAAAGCAUGGGGAGCAAACAGGAUUAGAAACCCCGGUAGUCC